UACGUAGGUGGCGAGCGUUGUCCGGAUUUACUGGGCGUAAAGGGAGCGUAGGCGGACUUUUAAGUGAGAUGUGAAAUACCCGGGCUCAACUUGGGUGCUGCAUUUCAAACUGGAAGUCUAGAGUGCAGGAGAGGAGAAUGGAAUUCCUAGUGUAGCGGUGAAAUGCGUAGAGAUUAGGAAGAACACCAGUGGCGAAGGCGAUUCUCUGGACUGCAACUGACGCUGAGGCUCGAAAGCGUGGGGAGCAAACAGGAUUAGAUACCCCGGUA
RNAcentral lists this ribosomal RNA (269 nucleotides) under uncultured prokaryote. Its description in RNAcentral is "partial 16S ribosomal RNA". It matches the Rfam family "Bacterial small subunit ribosomal RNA", at positions 524 to 792 of the family's 1533-position model. The record is from RNAcentral.